Molecule: RNA transcript, 3158 nt
Organism: Hippopotamus amphibius kiboko
Lineage: Eukaryota; Metazoa; Chordata; Mammalia; Artiodactyla; Hippopotamidae
Gene name: mitogen-activated protein kinase kinase kinase 3-like
Exons: 1
Source: RefSeq, a predicted model, not a curated record
AUGGACGAACAGGAGGCAUUGAACUCAAUCACGAAGGAUCUGGUGGCCCUCCAGAUGAGCUGACGUCCCCGGGUGCCUGGAUAUGACACCAUGAAGAGCAAAGACACGGGUCACCCAAAUAGGCAGAGUGACGUCAGAAUCAAGUUUGAGCACAACGGGGAGAGGUGAAUUAUAGCGUUCAGCCGGCCUGUAAGAUAUGAAGAUGUGGAGCACAAGGUGACGACAGUGUUUGGGCAAUCUCUUGAACUACAUUACAUGAACAAUGAGCUCUCCAUCCUGCUGAAGAACCAAGAUGAUCUUGAAAAGGCAAUUGAUAUUUUCGAUAGAAGCUCAAGCAUGAAAAGCCUUAGGAUAUUGCUGCUGUCCCAGGACAGAAACCAUACCAGUUCCUCUCCCCACUCCGGGGUGUCCAGGCAGGUGCGAAUCAAAGCUUCCCGGUCUGUGGGAGAUGUAAAUACCAUCUACCAGCCCCCCGAGCCCAGCAGCAGGCACCUCUCUGUCAGCUCCCAGAACCCCGGCCGAAGCUCGCCUCCCCCUGGCUACGUCCCUGAGCGGCGGAUUGCCCGGCAAGGGUCCUACACCAGCAUCAACAGCGAGGGGGAGUUCAUCCCAGAGACCAGCGAGCAGUGCAUGCUGGAUCCCCUGAGCAGUGCUGAAAAUUCCUUGUCGGGAAGCUGCCAAUCCUUGGACAGGUCAGCAGACCGCCCAUCCUUCCGGAAAUCGCGAAUGUCCCGAGCCCUGAGCUUCCCAGACAACAGACAGGAAUUCUCUGAUCGGGAAAGUCAGCUCUAUGACAAAGGGGUCAAAGGUGGAACCGACCCCCGGCGCUACCACGUGUCCGUGCACCACAAGGACUACAACGACGGCAGAAGAACGUUUCCCCAAAUACGGCAUCAUCAAGGCAACCUGUUCACCCUGGUGCCCUCCAGCCGCUCCCUGAGCACAAAUGGCGAGAACAUGGGUCUGGCGGUGCAGUACCUGGACCCCUGAGGGCGCCUCCGGAGUGCAGACAGCGAGAACGCCCUCUCUGUGCAGGAGAGGAACGUGCCAACCAAGUCUCCCAGUGCCCCCAUCAACUGGCACCGGGGGAAGCUCCUGGGCCAGGUGCCUUUGGCAGGGUCUAUUUGUGCUAUGACGUGGACACAGGACGAGAACUUGCUUCCAAGCAGGUCCAGUUUGACCCAGACAGUCCUGAGACAAGUAAGGAGGUGAGUGCUCUGGAGUGUGAGAUCCAGUUGCUGAAGAACUUGCAGCACGAGCGCAUAGUACAGUAUUACGGCUGCCUGCGGGACCGUGCUGAGAAGACUCUGACCAUCUUCAUGGAGUACAUGCCGGGGGGCUCCGUGAAAGACCAGUUAAAGGCCUACGGAGCUCUGACAGAGAGUGUGACCCGAAAAUACACCCGGCAGAUCCUGGAGGGCAUGUCCUACCUGCACAGCAACAUGAUCGUUCACCGGGACAUCAAGGGAGCCAACAUCCUCCGAGACUCUGCUGGGAAUGUGAAGCUGGGGGACUUUGGGGCCAGCAAGCGCCUGCAGACCAUCUGCAUGUCAGGCACGGGCAUGCGCUCAGUCACUGGCACGCCCUACUGGAUGAGCCCUGAGGUGAUCAGCGGUGAGGGCUACGGAAGGAAGGCAGACGUGUGGAGCCUGGGCUGCACUGUGGUGGAGAUGUUGACAGAGAAACCACCUUGGGCAGAGUAUGAAGCCAUGGCCGCCAUUUUCAAGACUGCCACCCAGCCCACCAAUCCUCAGCUGCCCUCCCACAUCUCUGAGCACGGCCGGGACUUCCUGAGGCGCAUUUUUGUGGAGGCCUGCCAGAGACCUUCGGCGGAGGAGCUGCUCACACACCACUUUGCACAGCUCGUGUACUGAGCUCUCAAGGCCACGUGUUGCCGGCUGCCCCUGCUGCACGGGCGAGGGGCUGCUGUGGGGCUCAGCAAAGUUGCUGCUUCUCCCAGGCAAGGCUGUGGACCACAGAGCUGCAGUCUGGCCAGCGUUGUCUGUGGCCUUCCGCUGCUGGGGCUCAGAGCCAGGUAGGGUGGCUGCAGCCUCACGGACUGGGAGCCCCCAGCCUGCCAGACCCGAAGCUCCAAGGUCCUAAGCUCAGCCUGGAGGGGAAGGUGCUAGGAACAAUGUGCGAGGCACCGUGGGCCCCACCCUUGGGGCUGUGUCCUGACACUGCAGUCAACACGAGACCCCAGAGAGGCUGGGGGCACAGGAUGGACAUGAGGGUCUGAAUAGUGUUACUUUCAUUCAGAGUGUUAUUUUGUUUCUCCUCCCCAUGUCUGGAGACCACCAGGGCAUCUCUGGGUUGGAUGAGCCCACCAAAGCCGGAGGUAAAGCCCAGCAUCCCACAGCCAAUGGAAAGCAGAGGCCUGGGCUGCACUCUCCCUGGAGCCCCAGGCCAGCUUUGCCAGUCCCUGUCCUUUACCAAAGAUGAGUGAAGCAAAUGUUAUGCUGCCUUAUUCAGGGAAGGAGGAGCCUGUCCUGCCCGCCCUGUGACCCUGACCCCUCCCACCCUCAAGCAGGGGCCUGAGAUGUGGAACUGCCCCCACUGAGGGGGAGACCCAGUUUUGUCAAUGCAGUUGUCUCUGUUUUACAAGCUGGAGUCACUCUUAUGCUGUACCCAGUUCCAGACUGGAGACUGUGUGCCCCCUGGGCUCUGAGUCCCCCUGCUGUGGGCUUGGGCCUUGGGCCAGAUUGGAAAGAGCUGAAGGUCGUAGCCUUUGUGCUCCUGGCCUGGCACGGGUUCCCCCCGGAGCAGAAAGGAAGAUGGACAACACAGUGAAGGCAUCUGAGCUGACAUUCAGGAUGGCCAGGGGAGUUGUAUCAGGCUCUCUGUGGGUCGUGACCUGCUAGACCACAGCUCUCUGUGAUGCCACCAACUGUGUCCAAAACUGCCAGCUCUGUUCCUCCUUGGCCAGCCUUGCUCAUCCCCGUGAGGCCUCAGCCUCUUUCCCUUCUCGCUCCUCUAGGGGAGGAAUGGCAGCAGGGGUCAGGGAGCCAGUAUCUCCAAGCAGCUUAGAGUUGGCCUUAUUUACCUCAGCCUGGGCGCUGGUCCUUUCUUCCGGCCCCUCCCCUCCAAAAUGUGCCUAUUGCUAGAGCUCCUCCCUCUCAACACCCAGUUUCCUUGGGAGUUGUCAUUAAAGGAAAAAA